Molecule: ribosomal RNA, 1485 nt
Filed under: Prochlorococcus marinus str. MIT 9211
Lineage: Bacteria; Bacillati; Cyanobacteriota; Cyanophyceae; Synechococcales; Prochlorococcaceae
Description: 16S ribosomal RNA
Rfam family: Bacterial small subunit ribosomal RNA
Source: RNAcentral
CUACAACGGAGAGUUUGAUCCUGGCUCAGGAUGAACGCUGGCGGCGUGCUUAACACAUGCAAGUCGAACGAACCUUCGGGUUAGUGGCGGACGGGUGAGUAACGCGUGGGAAUCUGCCCUCAGGAGGGGGAUAACGGUUGGAAACGGCCGCUAAUACCCCAUAUGCCGAAAGGUGAAAUGAAUUUCGCCUGAGGAUGAGCCCGCGUCUGAUUAGCUAGUUGGUGUGGUAAUGGCUCACCAAGGCUUCGAUCAGUAGCUGGUCUGAGAGGAUGAUCAGCCACACUGGGACUGAGACACGGCCCAGACUCCUACGGGAGGCAGCAGUGGGGAAUUUUCCGCAAUGGGCGAAAGCCUGACGGAGCAACGCCGCGUGAGGGAUGAAGGCCUCUGGGCUGUAAACCUCUUUUCUCAAGGAAGAAGAUAUGACGGUACUUGAGGAAUAAGCCACGGCUAAUUCCGUGCCAGCAGCCGCGGUAAUACGGGAGUGGCAAGCGUUAUCCGGAAUUAUUGGGCGUAAAGCGUCCGCAGGCGGCCCUUCAAGUCUGCUGUUAAAACGUGGAGCUUAACUCCAUCAUGGCAGUGGAAACUGUUGGGCUUGAGUGUGGUAGGGGCAGAGGGAAUUCCCGGUGUAGCGGUGAAAUGCGUAGAUAUCGGGAAGAACACCAGUGGCGAAGGCGCUCUGCUGGGCCAUAACUGACGCUCAUGGACGAAAGCCAGGGGAGCGAAAGGGAUUAGAUACCCCUGUAGUCCUGGCCGUAAACGAUGAACACUAGGUGUCGGGGGAAUCGACCCCUUCGGUGUCGUAGCUAACGCGUUAAGUGUUCCGCCUGGGGAGUACGCACGCAAGUGUGAAACUCAAAGGAAUUGACGGGGGCCCGCACAAGCGGUGGAGUAUGUGGUUUAAUUCGAUGCAACGCGAAGAACCUUACCAGGGUUUGACAUCCUGCGAACCUUUAAGAAAUUAGAGGGUGCCUUCGGGAACGCAGUGACAGGUGGUGCAUGGCUGUCGUCAGCUCGUGUCGUGAGAUGUUGGGUUAAGUCCCGCAACGAGCGCAACCCACGUUUUUAGUUGCCAGCAUUUAGUUGGGCACUCUAGAAAGACCGCCGGUGAUAAACCGGAGGAAGGUGUGGAUGACGUCAAGUCAUCAUGCCCCUUACAUCCUGGGCUACACACGUACUACAAUGCUACGGACAAAGGGCAGCAAGCUCGCGAGAGCAAGCAAAUCCCAUAAACCGUGGCUCAGUUCAGAUCGUAGGCUGCAACUCGCCUACGUGAAGUAGGAAUCGCUAGUAAUCGCAGGUCAGCAUACUGCGGUGAAUACGUUCCCGGGCCUUGUACACACCGCCCGUCACACCAUGGAAGUUGGCCACGCCCGAAGUCGUUACUCCAACCCUUGUGGAGGAGGACGCCGAAGGUGGGGCUAAUGACUGGGGUGAAGUCGUAACAAGGUAGCCGUACCGGAAGGUGCGGCUGGAUCACCUCCU